RNAcentral lists this unclassified non-coding RNA (229 nucleotides) under uncultured Basidiomycota. RNAcentral's name for it is "sequence contains 5.8S rRNA gene, ITS2, 28S rRNA gene". Lineage: Eukaryota; Fungi; Basidiomycota. The record is from RNAcentral.
AACGCACAUUGCGCCUUUUGGUAUUCCGAAAGGCAUGCCUGUUCGAACGUCAUUAAACUCUCAAGCCUUGCUUGGUUUUGAUAAUUAUGAUUUCAUAUUAUCGCAACUCGUUGGUUUGUCAACUUGAUUCAAACGUAGCAAUGUUUCGUUUAGAUGAGGGUUGUCAUCCAGAUGAACUAAUUCAAUCAAAACUUGACUUCGGACAGGUAAGGAUACCCGCUGAACUUAA